Molecule: ribosomal RNA, 253 nt
Filed under: uncultured bacterium
Lineage: Bacteria
Description: partial 16S ribosomal RNA
Rfam family: Bacterial small subunit ribosomal RNA
Source: RNAcentral
UACAGAGGUCUCAAGCGUUGUUCGGAUUCAUUGGGCGUAAAGGGUGCGUAGGUGGCGGGGUAAGUCAGGUGUGAAAUCUCGGAGCUCAACUCCGAAACUGCACUUGAUACUGCCUUGCUCGAGUACUGGAGAGGAGAUUGGAAUUUACGGUGUAGCAGUGAAAUGCGUAGAUAUCGUAAGGAAGACCAGUGGCGAAGGCGAAUCUCUGGACAGUUACUGACACUGAGACACGAAGGCCAGGGGAGCAAACAGG